This 19624-nucleotide long non-coding RNA is filed under the name Triticum aestivum (bread wheat). Its description in RNAcentral is "long non-coding RNA (TAES_LNC027795)". The stretch from base 17562 to 17668 matches the Rfam family "Plant small nucleolar RNA R71". The record is from RNAcentral. Lineage: Eukaryota; Viridiplantae; Streptophyta; Magnoliopsida; Poales; Poaceae.
UCAAGCAACCAAUAAAAGAGACAGCAGCUCACAGGAGUAUAACAACUAACUUAAUAUCCAGCAAGUGCAACAACAAUUCAGCAAGAACAAACACAUAAGGGAUCUCACACAUACAGUAGCAGAAUACUAACUAACACAUGACAAGUAUGAACUGAACAUAUUAUCAGUAGCAUAGAGUAGAUGAUGGAACUAUCUCAAACAUCACAGGCAGCAGAACAAUAUUACAAGUUGAACCACCUAGUUUUCUCACAAACACAUCAACAGUUAACUGAGAUUCAGAUUUCAAGCUGCAGAAUAUUCAGAACAAAAAUUCAAAAAACUACAGUAAGAGAAGAGAGAUUCAGGGUUGUCUCCUGCGCUGUAGAUGUUGUAGGCGAAGGAGAGCAGCAGGGACGAAGAUGAUCAGCGAAGCCAAGUUGGAGAGGAUCCAUAGCUCCGUUUCUUGAGGUUGAAGAUGAGGAAGUGCAGCAGGUUGGCGUCGUCGUUGGAGAGGAGCGGUGGAUUGGGCGCCUCCACCAAUCUCCCAACGCCCUCUUCUCCCUUUCUCUCCUUCGAUCUGGUUCCCCUGCUCGUUCCCCUCAAUCCCCUGCUUCGAUCUGGUGGUGGUUGAGUGGUGGAAGGCAGCAAGGAGUUGGAGAGCAGCAAGUCGGCGAUCAGGGGCAGCAGCCAGAUGGAACGGCCUCCGAUCUCGUCUUGUUCUUCCUUCCCUCGAUCCCCCUUUUCUUGCCUGAUUCAAUCUGGUGGUAGGUGAGUCUAGAAGGCAGCGAGGAGUUGGAGAGCAGCAAGUCGGCGAUCAGGGGCGGCAGCCAGAUGGAACUGCCUCCGAUCUCGUCUUGUUCUUCCUUCCCUCGAUCCCCCUUUUCUUGCCUAAUUCGAUCUGGUGGAAGGUGAGUCUAGAAGGCAGCGAGGAGUUGGGGAGAAAAAGGUAGUCGGGUUGAUGAUCUUCUUUCCUUCGACCCCUCAACUCCCCUUCUUUCUCGUGGCCUCGCGCGUGGGAUCAGUGGCCUCUCGCUGGUCGCGCCAGACCAGCCUCUUCUCACGGGCCCAAGCAGACAUCUGCUCUUCUUUGUCUGACUAGGUGCGUGGGUUCUUUUCAGCUCGCCCUUCUAGUUCUAACUCUUCGCACAAGAUGAUCCUACCUUGAAGGUUAUAAACACUUUCGAUGAAGUUUAGGUGCCUAAAUGCACCAGUCCUGCAAGAUAUGAAUAAGUGUUGUAAAAAUAUCAUAAUAAGAAUAUUUCAAUAAGAAUGAAUACUUUAUAAGUAAAAACUGUGGUCCAAGGUUUGAUUUGUUAUGCAAAAAGGCUUGAAAUACAAUAUGAAUGAAAGUGCUAUCAAUUUCCCCCACACCCAGAUUUUUGCUUGUCCUCAAGUAAAGAAAAAUGAUGCUGACACUACCCACACUGCCUAGUAAAGAUGCACUAUUGGAUAGAUAGUAAUUCCGACAAUACUAGAAGUAGGCAACUGUACUCUACUCAUGCUAAAUUGUGAUAAGCAAUAAUUUAUAACACACUGUAAAUGUUCCAUGUCAAUGGCCUUGAGUCAAAGUGCAUCCUAAUAAUCAAGAGCUGGCUCUGUCUUCAGCCCUGAGCUAAGCUGGGACCCCAAAAUCAAUUAGAAAAACAAGUUACUUAUUGAAUUUAAAUCACAAAUGAUAAAAUUAUAUCAGUCUCACCAAAGGAACAUACCACCGAUCCCGAGAACAUGGUAUACACCUGGCUCGACCAAAUUAUUAGUAUAUAUUUUUAUUAUGUCCCCAAAGGAACAUACCACCGAUCCCGAGAACAUGGUAUACACCUGGUUCGACAAAUUAUUAGUAUAUAUUUUUUGUUAUUAUCUCCCCGAAGGAACAUACCACCGAUCCCGAGAACAUGGUAUACACCUGGUUCGACAAAUUAUAGCACUUUUUAUAUAAUUUUUUUUACAGUCCAAUCUACCAGAUUUCACAAGCCACCGAUCCAGGGAACAUGACAUGCUACUGUAGGUCGAUCAGACUUAAAUUAUUAUAAUUAUUUUAUUUAGUUAUUUGAAAAUUACUUAGCUUAAGUAAAACAGGAAUAAUUGAAAGAGGAAUCCAUAGCUAAUGGCACUGUUUUUCACAGACUACAGAUCCAGAGAUCAUAGCUACUACUUAAGUGCCACCAGUUACUUAGCUUAACUUGGGACAGUCAGACACAGCACAUCAAUUCAUUAGAAGGUUUCACUUAGACUCAAGGCAUUCCCAUUGAACAUUUACAUGGAGGUAUAAAGUAUUCAUUAUCACAAAUUACCAUAAGAAUAAUACAGCUGCAUAGUUUUAGUAUUAAGAGAAUCAACAAUCUUCUUGGAGUAAAUCCUACUUUGCAGUGAAGAGUAAGGUGUCACCAUGCAAAAAGAGUUUCAAUGCAAUUAAAUGCCAGUUCUCAUACUAAAUUUUCUAAAGGUUGCUUCAAGUGGAACAGAAUCACCUGGUAUUUGUAAACUCUUCUCUCCUACUUUCUUCUCUCCACUCUUCUCUGUUUGUGUUCCCUGUUUGUGCUCCCCUCGCCUUUAUUUGCUGAAAAAGAAAGACAUAAACACAAAAAAAAUUCUAUGAAAACUAAAUAAGGAAAAUAACUUAUUAAAGAUUCAGGUUGCCCCCUGAAAAGCGCUUGUUUUAGGUCUUUAGCUCGACCAUGUCUCGUCAGUGAGGUCAGGGUCCUGCAGGGAUUGACACCUCUUGGGUCCCCUCGCCUUCUUGAAUUUCCUCCUCUGGGUCUUGAUCUUCGCUUGCAUUCUCAUCUUCAGAAAUAAGAAGUGGAUCUCCAGGGAUGUAGGGCUUCAGUCUUUGACCGUUUACAAGGAAGAGACCUCCAGAAGUACUUUGCACUUGAAUAGCACCAUUUUGCAGAAUCUUCUUCACCUUGCAAGGGCCAUACCAUCUUGACUUGAAUUUACCAGGAAAUAAAUGAAACCUAGUAUCAUAGACCAAUACCAACUGUCCAAGAUGAAAUUCUUUCCUCAGUAUAUGCUUGUCAUGCCAGAUCUUAGUCUUUUCUUUGUAAAUUCUUGCACUCUCGUAAGAGUCAGCUCUCAGUUCUUCCAUUUCACAGAGUUGAAGUUUUCUGUAUUUUCCUGCUGCAUCAAGGUCCAUAUUGAGUUUCCUUAGUGCCCAUUGAGCUUUGUGUUAAAGUUCAACGGGUAGAUGGCAUGCUUUUCCAUAUAUUAACCUGAAUGGUGACAUUCCAAUUGGUGUUUUAUAGGCUGUCCUAUAUGCCCAUAGUGUGUCUGGUAAUUUCUGUACCCAGUCAGACCUUGACUUUGAUACUACCUUCUCGAGAAUGGCCUUUAUUUCUCUAUUAGACAACUCCACUUGUCCAUUUGCUUGCGGGUGAUAUGGAGUUGUAAUUCUGUGAUUAUGAACUCCAUAUUUUGCUAAGAGAGAUUCUAGUUGGGAGUUGUUGAAAUGUGUUCCUCCAUCACUGAUAACAAUCUGUGGCACACCAAAUCUUGGAAAGAUCACUUGCUUGAACAAAUUGCAAACUGACUUGGAAUCAACAUUGACGGUUGGUACAGCCUCAACCCAUUUUGACACAUAGUCCACUGCCACCAAUAUGUAUUUGUACCCUUUUGAUGAUGGCAAGGGUCCAACAUAAUCAAUUCCCCAUACAUCAAAGAGCUCUACUUCAAGAAUUCCUUUUUGAGGCAUCUCUUGCCUUUUUGAAAUGUUUCCAGUUCUCUGACAAGGAUCACAAGCUUCAAUAUAGGAAUGUACAUCCUUGAAUAAAGUUGGCCAGUAAAAUCCCGCUUGCAAAAUUUUCGCUUGAGUCUUCCUAGUACUUGCAUGACCUCCAUAAGGGGAUGAAUGGCAAUGAUAGAUCACACUUUUAGUUUCACCUUCCGGCAAGCAUCUUCGAACAAUACCAUCAGCACAAUGUUUGAAUAAGUAAGGUUCAUCCCAAAAGAAGUGCUUCAUAUCUGAUAAGAAUUUCUUCUUCUUUUGACACCCAAAAUCUGUAGGGACUUUGUUACAGAUCAGAUAAUUAACUAUAUCUGCAUACCAUGGUGUAUAGUUUUGUAUACUAGUCACUUGCAUAAGAUUGCUCCCUGGUAAAACAUCAUUGAUAGGUAAGGAGUCUACUGCAUUGUUUUGCAACCUCGACAAGUGAUCUGCCACAACAUUUUCAGCUCCUUUCUUGUCCUUGAUUUCCACAUCAAAUUCUUGAAGCAAGAGUAUCCAUCUAAUUAACCUUGGCUUGGCUUCUUUCUUGUUGAGUAGAUAUCUAAUUGCAGCGUGGUCUGUGUAAACUACACAAUGAGACCCUACAAGAUAUUGCCUAAAUUUGUCAAAGGCAUACACUACUGCCAACAACUCCUUUUCUGUGGUUGUGUAAUUAGCUUGAGCACCAUCAAGAGUUUUGCUAGCAUAGUAUAUUACAUGCAAAUCUUUUCCUUUUCUUUGUCCCAGUACUGCAUCCACAGCAAAGUCACUUGCAUCACACAUUAUCUCAAAUGGUAAUUCCCAGUCAGGGGGUUGCACUACUGGAGCAGUGACCAAUGCUUCCUUGAGCAAGUUGAAGGAUUUUUCACAUUCUGCAUCAAAAUUGAACUUAACAUCAUUGUUUAGGAGAUUAGUGAGGGGUUUGGCUAUGUUGGAGAAAUCCUUUAUGAAUCUUCUAUAGAACCCAGCAUGUCCCAAAAAGCUCCUUACUCCCUUCACAUUUACAGGUGGUGGAAGUUUUGAUAUUACUUCAACUUUUGCUUGAUCAACCUCAAUUCCUCUUUCAGAUACCAAAUGUCCCAAAAUAAUUCCUUCCUUUACAAGAAACUGACACUUCUCCCAGUUUAAGACUAGAUUGUGUUCUGAACACCUCUGAAGAACUGCUGCCAAAUUAUUCAAGCAAUCCUCAUAACUUUUUCCAACGACUGUAAUAUCAUCUAUGAACACCUCCACUUUGCUUCCUAUCAUAUUAGAGAAUAUAGAGAGCAUAAACCUUUGAAAUGUUGGGGGUGCAUUACAAAGUCCAUAAGCUAGUCUUUUGUAAGAAAAUGUUCCGUAUGGGCAAGUGAAAGUUGUUUUAUCUUGAUCAUCCGGAUGAAUUGGGAUUUGCAAGAAUCCUGAAUACCCAUCUAAGCAGCAGAAAUAUUCAUGCCCACCAAGCCUUUCCAGCAUUUGGUCAAUGAAAGGUAAAGGAAAAUGGUCCUUCCUCGUUACUUCAUUUAACUUUCUGAAAUCAUUGACCAUUCUCCACCCUGUGACAGUCCUACUAGGAAUCGUUUGCCCUUGUUCAUUUUCAAUGACGGUUAUUCCUCCUUUCUUGGGAACCAUGUGAAUGGGACUCACCCACUCGCUGUCCGAAAUUGGGUAUAUGAUAUCAGCAGAGAGCAAUUUAAGAAUCUCCUUUUUAACAACCUCUUGCAAAUGGGGAUUCAACCUUCUUUGACUUUCUCUAAUUGGUACACUGCUUUCUUUCAAGUAAAUCCUAUGAGAGCAGACAGCAGGAUUUAUCCCUUUCAUAUCAUCAAUUGAAUAUCCAAUAACAUCCUUGUACUUUUGCAAAACUGCUUGAAGCCCUUUUAUUUGCCUUUCCGUCAACUCCCUAUUCACGAUAAUUGGCCACUGAUUGUCAUUAUCUAAGAAUGCAUAUUUCAAACUUUCUGGAAGUUGUUUCAUUUCUAUUUGCCUUGGUUGCAUCUUCUCUAGUGGCCUUGUACUGCUUUCCAAUAUGCUAACAGGUCUGAUUUCUUCAUAUCUGAUUUCACUAUUGUCCUCCUCAACUACUUCACAACAAUUACUUCCAUACCUCUCUUCAUAGCCUUCUUCCACACAUUUCUGUAGUGUAUCAAUUCUGUAGCAGUGCUUUUCUUCUUGCGGAACAUGUGUUGCAUGCUUCAUGUCAAACUCCACCUUUUCAUUUCCAAACCUCAGGCUCAAUUUAGCUUCUUGGACAUCAAUAAGUGCACCAGCUGUGGCCAAAAAUGGUCUUCCAAGGAUCACAGCCUCACUUUUGUCCUCCAUAUCUAACACUACAAAGUCAACCGGAUAAGCAAACUUCCCAACUUUGAUUGGAACAUCCUCAAGAAUCCCAACAGGUUUCCUAUAUGUUCUGUCGGCUAACUGAAGGGUUAUGGCUGUUGGAUUUAAUUCUCCCAAGAACAUCCUUUUGCUAACUGAAUGUGGUAACACACUUACACUUGAGCCCAAGUCACACAGAGCACUGUAAGUUUUGUUUCCAAUCACACAUGGUACACAAAAGCUUCCUGGAUCAUCCAAUUUUUCAGGCAUGGAAUUCUGAAUUAUUGCACUGCAUUCCUUUGAUAGAGUCACUACUUCUGGCUCAGACAUGCUUCUUUUCUUUGUUAGCAAUUCCUUGAAGUAUUUGGCAUACAUUGGAACAUGCAAGACAUCUUCAAGAAUAGGAAUAGUAAUCUGAACUCCCUUCAUAGUUUCCAAGAAUUUGGCAAAUUGCUUGUCAUCUUUGGGUUUGUUGAACUGCUCAGGAAAAGGAAUGUUGUUGGUUGUUAUUGCUUCCUCUAGCAAAGUCUAAGCUCUUGUUUGAAAACCAGGAAAUUCGAAUUCAGUUUCAAUUCGGUUAUCAACUUCUUUCUCCUUUAGUUUCUCUGAUGAUGUUGAAGGUGGAGUUCCGGAUGAACUUGGCCUCAUAGCAGGAGGGACAUAUGUCUUCGGAGUAGGAAGUAAUGGUCCGGACAUAACUCCACUCCUUGUAGUCACUGCAUCAACUGAAGAUAUUGCCCCACAGUGAGCUUUCAGAUUUGGAAUUGGUUGCGCAGGCAGCCUUGCUUCAUUUUCUCCCACCAUACUAUCCAUUUUGCUCACAAGCAUCUUAACAGUAUCCUUUAAGCCAUUAACUUCAUUUGUCAUCUUGCUCAUCAAUUCCAACUGCAUUUUCAUGAUUUCCUCCAUUCCAUUUGACUGAACAUUUUGUUGUUCAUUCUGUCUUGGCACUUGAAAUUGACUUGGAUGAUUUGGUGGUGGAUUUCCUUGUAUUGUCGAUCCACUUGCAUAUGACUGAUUGUUCUUGUACGACAAGUUUGGAUGGUUCCUCCAAGAAGGAUUGUAGCUGUUUGAGAAUGGACCUUGACUUUGGGCAUGACUUACUUCUGAAACCGAUGAUCCAAUUGCUGAAUAGAAGGUGCAUUCUAUUGAAGGAUGACCUGCUUGGCCACAUACAUCACACAUUUGAGGCACACUUACUGAAGCUACGGAAGUACCGAAGCAAUUUGACAUGAUACUAUCCAUCUUCUUGUUCAAGAUGUCAAUCUGAGCCGCCAUGCUAUCAUUUGCAGACACAUUAUACACACCAGGAUGUGGUGGUGCUAUUGAUCUUUCACUUGACCAUUGGAAAUGAUGAAACGCCAUGCUUUCAAUCAAUGCAAAUGCUUCAUCAAGAGUUUUGUUCAUAAUUCCUCCUCCUGCAGCAGAAUCAACAAAGGCUCUGGUCUGAGUGGACAGCCCUUUGUAAAAGGUUUGUAACACUAGCCAUCUUUCUAAACCAUGAUGAGGACACAUUCUGAUUAAAGAGUUGAAUCUUUGCCAUGCAUCAUACAAAGUCUCUCCAUCAUAUUGAGUAAACCUUAUUAACUUGUCCCUAUAUUCAGCAGCUUUUGUCGGUGGAAAGUAUCUCUCAAGAAAUGUCUGCAAUAAAGUCUCCCAAGUAUCCUUCAGAUGUUCAGGCAAGGAGUGAAGCCAUACUCUUGCUCCAUCUCUCAAGGAAAAUGGGAAUAGUGAUAAUCUAAUAGCACUCGGAGAAACUCCAUUUUCCUUGAGGGUGUUACAAUACUCCAAGAAAGUCCUGAUAUGCUCAUGGGGGUCUUCUAAAGCUGUUCCACCAAAUCUGGACUGUUGCACCAUGUUAAUCAGAGCAGGCUUCAAUUCAAAAUUAUUCGCCUGAAUAAUCGGUUGCACUAUUUCUCCUGGUAUCCCAUGAUCUCUUGGGAUCCACAAGUCCCUGAGCAAAGGUACUGGAUCAGACAUCUUUUCUUCUUCUUGAUCUUGCAAUGUUUCAGCAACUUGAAACCGUAUUUGAUUCUCUCUUCUUCUUCUUCUCAAUAAGGUCCUUUCAAUUUCUGGAUCAAACGACUCUAGUGAAUAUUCAGGUUGAAGCAUAAGACAAUUUCCUGUAAAAGUUCCUGAAAUUGACACAUGCUAGUUUCUCUCAAAACUGCAGCCAAUGUGAGGAAAUUGUUAGUUGCCAGCAAUACUACAUAAUCGACCUAAAAUAAAUUCUGAUCUGCUUCUACUAAUGUGCUAAUGAAAUUUAAAUCCCCGGUAACGGCGUCAAAUUGAUCGUAUGUAAUAUAGCAGGGUUUUUACGCCCAAACUACGGAUGUCGUGUUCUCCACAGGGAUCUAGAACUUCGAAGCACACCCUCGAAACAUUCAGAACAACCAGACAGAUGAAUCAAACAGUAAUGACAAGAAGAAAUUACUAGAGAAAGGUAAAACAAAAACUCAAGCAACCAAUAAAAGAGACAGUAGCUCACAGGAGUAUAACAACUAACUUAAUAUCCAGCAAGUGCAACAACAAUUCAGCAAGAACAAACACAUAAGGGAUCUCACACAUACAGUAGCAGAAUACUAACAAACACAUGACAAGUAUGAACUGAACAUAUUAUCAGUAGCAUAGAGUAGAUGAUGGAACUAUCUCAAACAUCACAGGCAGCAGAAGAAUAUUACAAGUUGAACCACCUAGUUUUCUCACGAACACAUCAAUAGUUAACUAAGAUUCAGAUUUCAAGCUGCAGAAUAUUCAGAACAAAAAUUCAAAAAACUACAGUAAGAGAAGAGAGAUUCAGGGUUGUCAACUGCGCUGUAGAUGUUGUAGGCGCAGGAGAGUAGCAGGGACAAAGACGAUCAGCGAAGCCAAGUUGGAGAGGAUCCACAGCUCCGUUUCUUGAGGUUGAAGACGAGGAAGUGCAGCAGGUUGGCGUCGUCGCUGGAGAGGAGCGGUGGAUCGGGCGCCUCCACCAAUCUCCCGGCGCCCUCUUCUCCCUUUCUCUCCUUCGAUCUGGUUCCCCUGCUCGUUCCCCUCAAUCCCCUGCUUCGAUCUUGUGGUGGUUGAGUGGUGGAAGGCAGCGAGGAGUUGGAAAGCAGCAAGUCGGCGAUCAGGGGCGGCAGCCAGAUGGAACGGCCUCCGAUCUCGUCUUGUUCUUCCUUCCCUCGAUCCCCCUUUUCUUGCCUGAUUCGAUCUGGUGGUAGGUGAGUCUGGAAGGCAGCGAGGAGUUGGAGAGCAGCAAGUCGGCGAUCAGGGGCGGCAGCCAGAUGGAACGGCAUCCGAUCUCAUCUUCUUCUUCCUUCCCUCGAUCCCCCUUUUCUUGCCUGAUUCGAUCUGGUGGUAGGUGAGUCUGGAAGGCAGCGAGGAGUUGGGGAGAAAAAGGCAGUCGGGUUGAUGAUCUUCUUUCCUUCGACCCCCUCAACUCCCCUUCUUUCUCGUGGCCUCACGCGUGGGAUCAGUGGCCUCUCGCUGGUCGCACCAGACCAGCCUCUUCUCACGCACCCAAGCAGACAUCUGCUCUUCUUUGUCUGACUAGGUGUGUGGGUUCUUUUCAGCUCACCGUUCUAGUUCUAACUCUUCGCACAAGAUGAUCCCCAGCUUGAAGGUUAUAAACACUUUCGAUGAAGUUUAGGUGCCUAAAUGCACCAGUCCUGCAAGAUAUGAAUAAGUGUUGUAAAAAUAUCAUAAUAAGAAUAUUUCAAUAAGAAUGAAUACUUUAUAAGUAAAAACUGUGGUCCAAGGUUUGAUUUGUUAUGCAAAAAGGCUUGAAAUACAAUAUGAAUGAAAGUGCUAUCAAUUUCCCCCACACCCAGAUUUUUGCUUGUCCUCAAGUAAAUAAAAAUGAUGCUGGCACUACCCACACUGCCUAGUAAAGAUGCACUAUUGGAUAGAUAGUAAUUCCGACAAUACUAGAAGUAGGCAAUUGUACUCUACUCAUGCUAAAUUGUGAUAAGCAAUAAUUUAUAACACACUGUAAUUCAGAGGAGAUUCAAAUAUUUCUCAUAAAUAAACUUGAUCAUAAACCCAGAAUUCAUCGGAUCUCGACAAACACACCGCAAAAAGAGUUUACAUCGAAUAGAUCUCUACAAGAGAGGGGGAGAACAUUGUAUUGAGAUCAAAAAAGAGAGAAGAAGCCAUCUAGCUAAUAACUAUGGACCCGAAGGUCUGUGGUAAACUACUCACAACUCAUCGAAGGGGCUAUGGUGUUGAUGUAGAAGCCCUCCAUGGUCGAUUCCCCCUCUGGUGGAGCGCCGACGAAGGCUCCAAGAUGGGAUCUCACGGAUAGAAAAGGUUACGGUGGUGGAAAUUGUGUUUCAUUGGCUCCCUGGAUGUUUUCAGGGUACGUAGGCUUAUAUAGGAGGAAGAAGUAUGUCGGUGGCCGCCCGAGGGGCCCACGAGAUAGGGGGGCACGCCGAGAGGGGGUGGGCGCGCCCUCCUAUCUCGUGGCCGCCUCGGCUGCUUCUUGACUUGGACUCCAAUUCCUUUGGAUCACGUUCGUUCCAAAAAUCACGCCCCCGAAGGUUUCAUUCCAUUUGGACUCCGUUUGAUAUUCCUUUACUUCGAAAUACUGAAAUAGGAAAAAAAACAGCAAUACGGGCUGGGCCUCCGGUUAGUAGGUUAGUCCCAAAAAUGAUAUAAAUGUGUAAAAUAAAGCCCAUAAACAUCCAAAAGGGGUAAUAUAAUUGCAUGGAACAAUCAAAAAUUAUAGAUACGUUGGAGACGUAUCACAUAUGUCUAUUAACCAUGUUCGUACAUCAAACUAAUGCUCUUUUGUAUCCCUCGUCAAUCACUUAUGAUGAGGCAGUCACCCCAGUGGGUUACUGUGAGACGCCCUACUCAUACUCAUUUAAAGAGUGCAGUUUCAUCUUCCUUAGAUGAUUCUCAAGAAACGGCAAGGCUAAAUGAAGAUAGUUAACGUAGCUCUCUAGUUGAUGACCACAAUUCCCCCACACCACCAUUGCAGGUGCUUGCUCUUACUUGGCAGUGUGAUAUGUGGUUGCAUGUUGCAUAUGGUGUCUACCUUGUAAUGCUUCUAAUUAGGUUAAAUUGCAUCUUCUUAGUUAACACAUUAUACCUGUUAAUAUGACAUGCCUUACUGUUUUUGGUACAUACUACGUCUUUCUAUUAACCAUGUUCUUACAUCAAACUACUUUUCUUGUGUAUCCCUCAUCAAUCACUUCUGACGAUCCACCUUCAAGUUGACAGUGUAAUAUUGGUUGCAUCUUGCAUAUCAUUUCAAACAUGUAUUGCCUCUAAUUUGUUGAAGUGCCACUUGUAAUGAGACACAUCUAACUUGGUAGAGUGAUUUUGGUUGGAUCUUUCAUAUGGUGUCAAGAUUGCAUUGCGUCCAAUUUGUUGAAAUGACUUCUGCUUAGCGUUUUUCAUACAUAUUCCAUCCUCCUACAAUGUGGUUGCCAUACAUAAAAGUUGUGUUCGUCAGUAUCAUGCAUCAACGAAUUUGGAAGUGCGAAUUUCAUUCCUUUUUCUUGUGUGUUUACUUGACAAGGGAAAAUCUGAAAGGAUGAAGGCACAGAAUGAUGGUGGUCCUCUGGAGCAACCGAAACAGAUGAUCUCUGCAGAUUCUCCUACUACUUGUACUGCAGUGCUAGUUCCAAAUCUCAUCUCCCCUACUCCACAACCCAAGGUGCUUGCUCUAACAUGGCAGUGUGAUAUCUGGUUGCAUGUUGCAUAUGGUGCCUAGCUUGUAUUGCUCCUAAUUUGUUAAAUUGCAUCUCCUUAGCUUACACAUUAUACAUGUGAAUAUGACAUGUCUUCCUGUUUUUGGUACAUACUACAUCUGCCUAUCACACCAUCUUCUUACAUCAAACUAUUGUUCUUGUGUAUCCUGCAUGUAUCGCUUAUGAUGAGACAGUCACGCCUGUGGGUUUAUAUGAGACGCGCUACUCUUAUAAAGAAUGCAAUUUCAUGCUCUCCACAUGAUUCUCAAGAAACAACAAGCCUAAAUGAAGAUAUUGAACGUAGCUCUGUACUUGAAGACCGCACUUCCCCUACACCACCAUCACAGGUGCUUGCUCUAACUUCGCAGUGUGAUAUGUGGUUGCAUGUUGCAUACGGUGUCUAGCUUGUAAUGCUUCUAAUUAGGGUAAAUUGCAUCUGCUUAGUUUACACAUUAUACCUGUGAAUAUGACAUGCCUUCCUAUUUUAGGUACACACUACAUCUAUGUGUUAACCUUGUUCUUACAUGAAACUACCUCUCUUCUGUAUCCUGCAUCAAUCACUUACAAUGAGUCACCUUUAUUCAGUGCAUAUUGCAUAUUAUUUCUAGCUUGUUGCCAUGUAUUGCUUAUAAUUUGGUCAAAUACAUUUGUUAGGGCACCCUUUUAAUUUGGCAGAGUGAUAUUGGUUUCAUCUUUCAUAUGGUUCCUAGCUUGCAUUGAUCCUAACAAGUUCAAGCACCUUGUGCUUAGUUUACACUUUAUACAUCAUACAUGUCAAUAUGUCACGCCGUCCUGUUUUUCAUACAUAUUCCAUCCUCCUAUCAUGUGGCUGCCUUACAUGAAAGUAGUGUUCGUCAGUAUCAUGCAUCAAUGAGUUUUGAAGAGCAAAUUUUAUUCCUUUUUCUUGUGGGUUUGACAUGACAAGGCAAAAUCAAGAAAGAGGAAGGGAAAGAGUAAGGAAGGCGAUGAUGGUGGUCCUAUGCAGCAACGUAAACAGAGCAUCUGUACCAAUUCUCCUUGUGCCGAUAGUGCAUUACAAGGUCCAAGUCUCCGCUCCCCUACUCCACCAUCCAAGGUGCUUGCUCUAACUUGGCAGUGUGAUAUCUGGUUGCAUGUUGCAUAUGGUGUCUAGCUUGUAUUGCCCCUAAUUAGUGUAAACUACAUCUGCUUAGAUUACACAUGAUACGUGUGAAUAUGACACACUUUCCUGUUUUUGAUACAUACUAUAUCUGUCUAUCACACCAUGUUCUUACAUGAAACUACUCUUCUUGUGUAUCCUGCAUCAGUCACUUAUGAUGGGACACCUUUAAGUUGGCAGUGUGAUAUUGGUUUGCGACUUGAAUAUGAUUUCUAGCAUCUAUUGCUUCUAGUUUGAUGAACGCCACCUAUGACGAGAUAGUUUUAACUUGGUAGAGUGAUAUUGAUAGCACCUUCCAUAUGGUGUCUAGUUUGCAGUGCUUCUAAUUUGUUGAAGUGCCUCCUUCUUAGUUACCACAUCAUAGGUGUGAAUAUGUCAAGCCAUCCAUUUUUUUGUACAUAUUCCAUCCUCGUAUCAUGACUUUGCCUUUCAUCAGAGUAGUCUUCAUUACUAUCAUGCAUCAAUCAGUUCUGAAGAGCGAAUUAUAUUCCUUUUUCUUGUCAGUUUGACCUCACAAUGCAAAAUCAAUAAAGCUGAAGGAAAUUGGCAAGGCAUUGGAUGAUGGUGGUCCUUCUGAGCAACUGAAAUGGAGGUUCUCUACAGAUUCUACUCCGCCAUCCUCCCAACAAGAUUUGUAAGACACCACAAGGCUAGACAGUCAACGUAGUUGUGUAGAUGAUGAGCACAUCUCCCCUACUCCACCAUCACAGGUGCUUGGUCUAACUUGGCACUAUUAUAUGUGGUUGCAUGUUGCGUAUGAUGAUUAGCUUGUAUUGCUUCUAACUUUGUUGAAUUGCAUCUGCUUACUUUACACAUAAUGCCUGUAAAUAUGACAUAUGUUCUUGUUUCUAGAACAUACUAUAUAUGAUCACACGAUGUUCUUACAUCAGACUACUGUUCUUGCAUAUCCCGCAUUAGUCACUUAUGAUAAGGCACCUUUAAGUCGCCACUGUGAUAUUGGUUGUGUCUUGCAUAUGAUUUCUAGCAUGUACUGCUUCUAAUUUUUUGAAACGCCAUACAGUUUGAACUUGGCAGAGUGAUAUUGGCUGCAUUAUUCAUAUGGUGUCUAGCUUGCAGUGCUUCUAAUUUGUUGAAAUGGCUUCUGCUCAGUUACCACAUCAUAGGUGUAAAUAUUCCACACCAUCCUGUUUUUCAUACAUAUUCCAUCCUCGCAUCAUGUGUUUGCCUUUCAUCCGAGUAGUGUUCGUCAGUAUCAUGCAUGAAUGAGUUCUGAAGAGUGAAUUUUAUUCCUUUUUCUUAUCAGUUUGACUUCACAAUGCAAAAUCAUUACAGCUGAAGGAAAUUAGUCCGGCAGUGGAUGAUUGUGGUCCUUCGGAGCAACUCAAACAGGGGGUCUCUACAGAUACUACUCCGCGAUCCUCCCAACAAGAUUCGCAAGACAACACAAGGCUAGACAGUCAACGUAGCCAUGUAGAUGAUGAGCACAUCUCCCCUACUCCACCAUCACACGUGCUUGCUCUAACUUGGCACUAUUAUAUGUGGUUGCAUGUUGCGUAUGAUGUCUAGCUUGUAUUGCUUCUAACUUUGUUGAAUUGCAUCUGCUUACUUUACACAUAAUGCCUGUGAAUAUGACAGGUGUUCCUGUUUCUAGAACGUACGUGUACAUGAUGACCACAUCUCCCCUACUUCACCAUGUGGUUGCGUUUUCCGUAUGAUGUCCAGUUUGUAUUGCUUCUGAUUAUGUUGAAUUGCAUCUGCAUAUCUUUAAAACUUAUACCUGCAACGGUCACUUACCCAUAAGACACAUUUAACUUGGGACUUUGAUGUAGGUUUCAUCUUGCAUUGUCUUGUAGCUUGUACUGCUUCUAAUUUCUUUAAAUGGCACUUACGACGAGACACUUUUUACCUGAUAGAGUGAUAUUGGUUGCAUGUUCAUAUGGUGCCUAACUUUGAUUUCUUCUAAUUUUGUUGAAAUGCCUUCCGCUUAUUGUUUUUUCAUACAUAUUCCAUCCUCCUAUCGUACGUGUGAAUAUGAAACACUGUCUUUUUUUGUAUAUAUUCCAUCCUCCUAUCCCGCGCUUGCCUUACAUCAAAGUAGUGUUCGUCUGUAUCAUGCAUCAACCAGUUAUGCGGAGCUAAUUUUAUUCAUCUUCUUGUGGUUUUGACUUCAUAAGGCAAUAUCAGAAAAUAGAAAGGAAAAUAGUAACUUAGGGGAUGUUGGUGGUCCUCCGCACCGAUGCAAACAUAGACUCUCUAGAUUUCCCACUCCUACUGCUAAUGAAGUUGGAGUCCCAAGUCUACAUGAUGAGUUCAUCUCCCAUACUCCACCAUCGCAGGUGCUUGCUCUAAGUUGACAGUGUGAUAAUUGGUUUCAUGUUGCAUAUGUUGUCUAGUCUGUAUUUCUUUUAUUUUGAUUAAAUUGCACCUGCUGAGUUUAAACGUUAUACAUGUGCAUAUGACAUGGCUUUCUGUGUCUAGAAUACACUGCAUCUAUCUAUCGUACCAUGUUCUUACAUCAAAGUACUGCUGUUGUGUAUCCCGCAUCAGUCACUCAUGAUUGGACGCUUUUAACAUGGCAGUUUGAUAGUGGUUGCAUCUUGCAUUGAUUUCUACGUUGUACUACUUCUAAUUUUUCGAAUUGCCACUUAUGACAAGACACUUUUAACUUGGGAGAGUAAUAUUGGUUGCAUCUUUCAUAUGGUGUCUAGCUAGCAUUACUUCUAUUUUCUUGAAAAUCCUUCUGCUUAGUUUACACAUCGUAGCUAUGAAUAUGUCAUGCCGUCCUAUUUUUCUUACAUAUUCCAACCUCAUACGAUUGUCUUACAUCAAAGUAUUCCUUGUUUGUAUCAUGCAUCAAUGAGUUCUGAAGAGCGAUUAUAUUCUUUUGUGUUGUGGGUACGGCUUGACAUGGCAAAGUCAAAAAAGAGCAAGGAAAAUAAUAUAGUAGGGAGUGGUGUUACUCGUCGGGUGAAACGGAAAAGGAUUUGCCGUCGAGAUUCUGCUGGUACUUAGAGUGCAGUAGAAGGUCCAAGUACACCGGCUAAAUCUACAAACACAGUAUCAUCUGCUCCACCAGCCGCAACAUCUUCUUCAACUGUACCGGCAUCUCAACGAGUUACUCGUUCAUUUGCUCCGGAAUUGGCCAGUUCCCAAACUGCCUUCACACAUAACACUACUUCCGAAGCACUGCUGACACAACAGGACUUGGCAAGAUCAGAUGAACCUCAUGAGCAUCAACACCAAGACGGUACCUGACCGAGUCAAGUUGCAGUUGCAGGCUCCUUUAUAUGUACUCUCACAGUUUGAUGUACACUAACAUUUUCCAUAUUCGUUGUUGAACUAGCACCACGGUGUAAGCGAAAACAUACAUCAGGGAUAAUGCUUGACAGAUUAACAAAAUCUAAAGGAGGAAGAAUGGAAAUCCAUUUUGAGGCGGGUUUAAAAAGGCCACAUGAUGCUACAGGGUCAGCCAAGUUAGUAUCAGAGGCAACCAUUGCCGUUAGGUGUCAUGCACAUAUCCUCCCGACGUGGAUCCAGUUCAGGAAUGAGAAAGACAAUACCUAGUUUAACACCUUCCUUGACCAUUUAUCCAUAAGUAAUGUUAUUCAUUGCAAUUAGUAAUAUUGUCUUGCUCUGUCCCAUACUUUCUAGCUUCCUCCUAAUAAGACUCACAUUCUUUUUUCAACAUAUGAGGUUCAAGUUGGAUCCGAAAGAUGAUGCAACUGAACAAGAAUGCACUCAUGUUUUUCAGUCUGCUCUGCGACAGUAUCGGUACCACCUUAGAAAAUCUCACUUUGAAGGCAAGGCUAAGAAUGAAAUCGCCCAAACAUCUCCAGUGGAAUAUAUUACAGACGAAGACUGGACAACCCUUGUUUAACACUGAUUUGAUCCAAAGUAUUAGGUAGGCUAUAUGUAUUUUAUCAUACCACAUAUUGAACUUGUAUUUAUGUUGUGCCUUACAAGUGUAUCUUCUUCUAGGCUAAGUGUUUGAAGAACAAGACCAACCGUUCUAAAGUGAAAUUCUGUAGUCACUGCAUCAACUGAAGAUAUUGCCCCACAGUGAGCUUUCGGAUUUGGAAUUGGUUGCGCAGGCAGCCUUGCUUCAUUUUCUCCCACCAUACUAUCCAUUUUGCUCACAAGCAUCUUAACAGUAUCCUUUUAGCCAUUAACUUCAUUUGUCAUCUUGCUCAUCAAUUCCAACUGCAUUUUCAUGAUUUCCUCCAUUCCAUUUGACUGAACAUUUUGUUGUUCAUUCUGUCUUGGCACUUGAAAUUGACUUGGAUGAUUUGGUGGUGGAUUUCCUUGUAUUGUCGAUCCACUUGCAUAUGACUGAUUGUUCUUGUACGACAAGUUUGGAUGGUUCCUCCAAGAAGGAUUGUAGCUGUUUGAGAAUGGACCUUGACUUUGGGCAUAACUUACUUCUGAAACCGAUGAUCCAAUUGCUGAAUAGAAGGUGCAUUCUGUUGAAGGAUGACCUGCUUGGCCACAUACAUCACACAUUUGAGGCACACUUACUGAAGCUACGGAAGUACCGAUGCAAUUUGACAUGAUACUAUCCAUCUUCUUGUUCAAGAUGUCAAUCUGAGCCACCAUGCUAUCAUUUGCAGACACAUUAUACACACCAGGAUGUGGUGGUGCUAUUGAUCUUUCACUUGACCAUUGGAAAUGAUGAGACGCCAUGCUUUCAAUCAAUGCAAAUGCUUCAUCAAGAGUUUUGUUCAUAAUUCCUCCUCCCGCAGCAGAAUCAACAAAGGCUCUGGUUUGAGUGGACAGCCCUUUGUAAAAGGUUUGUAACACUAGCCAUCUUUCUAAACCAUGAUGAGGACACAUUCUGAUUAAAGAGUUGAAUCUUUGCCAUGCAUCAUACAAACUCUCUCCAUCAUAUUGAGUAAACCUUGUUAACUUGUCCCUAUAUUCAGCAGCUUUUGUCGGUGGAAAGUAUCUCUCAAGAAAUGUCUGCAAUAAAGUCUCCCAAGUAUCCUUCAGAUGUUCAGGCAAGGAGUGAAGCCAUACUCUUGCUCCAUCUCUCAAGGAAAAUGGGAAUAGUGAUAAUCUAAUAGCACUCGGAGAAACUCCAUUUUCCUUGAGGGUGUUACAAUACUCCAAGAAAGUCCUGAUAUGCUCAUGGGGGUCUUCUAAAGCUGUUCCACCAAAUCUGGACUGUUGCACCAUGUUAAUCAGAGCAGGCUUCAAUUCAAAAUUAUUCGCCUGAAUAAUCGGUUGCACUAUUUCUCCUGGUAUCCCAUGAUCUCUUGGGAUCCACAAGUCCCUGAGCAAAGGUACUGGAUCAGGCAUCUUUUCUUCUUCUUGAUCUUGCAAUGUUUCAGCAACUUGAAACCGUAUUUGAUUCUCUCUUCUUCUUCUUCUCAAUAAGGUCCUUUCAAUUUCUGGAUCAAACGACUCUAGUGAAUAUUCAGGUUGAAGCAUAAGACAAUUUCCUGUAAAAGUUCCUGAAAUUGACACAUGCUAGUUUCUCUCAAAACUGCAGCCAAUGUGAGGAAAUUGUUAGUUGCCAGCAAUACUACAUAAUCGACCUAAAAUAAAUUCUGAUCUGCUUCUACUAAUGUGCUAAUGAAAUUUAAAUCCCCGGCAACGGCGUCAAAUUGAUCGUAUGUAAUAUAGCAGGGUUUUUACGCCCAAACUACGGAUGUCGUGUUCUCCACAGGGAUCUAGAACUUCGAAGCACACCCUCGAAACAUUCAGAACAACCAGACAGAUGAAUCAAACAGUAAUGACAACAAGAAAUUACUAGAGCAAGGUAAAACAAAAAUAACAUGCAGCAAAGGUAAAUGGUUCAGACAUCACACAAAACUCAAGCAACCAAUAAAAGAGACAGCAGCUCACAGGAGUAUAACAACUAACUUAAUAUCCAGCAAGUGCAACAACAAUUCAGCAAGAACAAACACAUAAGGGAUCUCACACAUAUAGUAGCAGAAUACUAACAAACACAUGACAAGUAUGAACUGAACAUAUUAUCAGUAGCAUAGAGUAGAUGAUGGAACUAUCUCAAACAUCACAGGCAACAGAAGAAUAUUACAAGUUGAACCACCUAGUUUUCUCACGAACACAUCAACAGUUAACUGAGAUUCAGAUUUCAAGCUGCAGAAUAUUCAGAACAAAAAUUCAAAAAACUACAGUAAGAGAAGAGAGAUUCAGGGUUGUCUCCUGCGCUGUAGAUGUUGUAGGCGAAGGAGAGCAGCAGGGACGAAGACGAUCAAUGAAGCCAAGUUGGAGAGGAUCCACAACUCUGUUUCUUGAGGUUGAAGACGAGGAAGUGCAGCAGGUUGGCGUCGUUGUUGGAGAGGAGCGGUGGAUCGGGCGCCUCCACCAAUCUCUCGGCGCCCUCUUCUCCCUUUCUCUCCUUCGAUCUGGUUCCCUGCUCGUUCCCCUCAAUCCCCUGCUUCGAUCUGGUGGUGGUUGAGUGGUGGAAGGCAGCGAGGAGUUGGAGAGCAGCAAGUCGGCGAUCAGGGGCGGCAUCCAGAUGGAACAGCCUCCGAUCUCGUCUUGUUCUUCCUUCCCUCGAUCCCCCUUUUCUUGUCUGAUUCGAUCUGGUGGUAGGUGAGUCUGGAAGGCAGCGAGGAGUUGGAGAGCAGCAAGUCGGCGAUCAGGGGCGGUAGCCAGAUGGAACGGCCUCCGAUCUCAUCUUCUUCUUCCUUCCCUCGAUCCCCCUUUUCUUGCCUAAUUCGAUCUGGUGGAAGGUGAGUCUAGAAGGCAGCGAGGAGUUGGUGAGAAAAAGGCAGUCGGGUUGAUGAUCUUCUUUCCUUCAACCCCCUCAACUCCCCUUCUUUCUCGUGGCCUCGCGCGUGGGAUCAGUGGCCUCUCGCUGGUCGCGCCAGACCAGCCUCUUCUCACACGCCCAAGCAGACAUCUGCU